CGCCCGCCCGCCGCAGAGCGAGGCUGUCAGUCAGACAAUGGAUGAUGCCCGGAUAGGGCUAGUGACGCGGCCUGAGGCCCCCGCAACCAACGCCUCUCGCAGAGCGGGGGAGUCUCGGUGUUCCCGCCCACCAGGGCCCCUGGCCUGUCAGCCACCAGAGUGCAAAGAAAUAACGCCUCGGGGCAGGGCUACCGGGCCUGUCUCUCCUGACCCAGGGCAUCAGUCCCACCAAACCCACGCGCCCCCACCCCAUACCUAGGCAGGGCGAGGUGCCCAGAGUGAGGCGGGGGCUCAGAGGACAGGGCUCCGGAGGCCCUGGUGAGGUGGCCCGAGGGGGUAACUGAGGUGGGAGUGCAGGGCGUUCUCCCGGCAGCAGAAGCAGCCGGUUCGCACAGGGUGGGCAAGAGACGUCCAGAGGCCUAGAGAGUGGCGGCUCUAGCCAGCAGCAACCCCCGCGGAGGCUCUGCACAGUGUUGUUAUUAAUUGGCACCCAAGACGCUCUCAGCCCCGCGCAAGGUGCAUCUACAGCCAGAGAGUCUCUGCCCCGGGAGCCCACACCGCCACAGGCACGGAGCGGGCCCAGGCCGUGCCGCCCUGCUAUGGGCUGGGAGAGACCAGGGCCAGGCUCAGGGAUUUGCUGCGCUGCCGUCUGCUGUGACUUAUCGCAAGCCUCACAACAGCUGGUGUAUGUCUCCUGGAGUCAGCUCAUUACCACAGAAUCUCAGCUUUCAUUUAAAACAACAAAAAAUUUGUUCCAAGGAAAUCGCUCCCCAACUCUGUGAUGCAGUCAUAAAAGUCUGGUUUGCUACCUAAAUCCUAGAAGACUGAAAGACCCUUGAUAAUAAUGCUUCUGAUUGUGCACACCCCAUUUCUAAAACUACUGUAUGAUAUAAUUUAAUAAACGCAAGCAAACUUUGAUGUAUAA
Long non-coding RNA from Chrysemys picta bellii (western painted turtle), 925 nucleotides. RefSeq lists it as uncharacterized. The record is from RefSeq and is a predicted model, not a curated record. Lineage: Eukaryota; Metazoa; Chordata; Testudines; Emydidae.